GAUGAACGCUGGCGGCGUGCCUAAUACAUGCAAGUCGAGCGAACAGACGAGGAGCUUGCUCCUCUGACGUUAGCGGCGGACGGGUGAGUAACACGUGGAUAACCUACCUAUAAGACUGGGAUAACUUCGGGAAACCGGAGCUAAUACCGGAUAAUAUAUUGAACCGCAUGUUUCAAUAGUGAAAGACGGUUUUGCUGUCACUUAUAGAUGGAUCCGCGCCGCAUUAGCUAGUUGGUAAGGUAACGGCUUACCAAGGCAACGAUGCGUAGCCGACCGGAGAGGGUGAUCGCCCACACUGGAAGUGAGAAACGGCCAAGACUCCUACGGGAGGAAGCAGAAGGGAAUCUUCCGCAAGGGGGGAAAGCCUGACGGAGCAACGCGGGGUGAGUGAUGAAGGUCUUCGGAUCGUAAAACUCUGUUAUUAGGGAAGAACAAAUGUGUAAGUAACUAUGCACGUCUUGACGGUACCUAAUCAGAAAGCCACGGCUAACUACGUG
This 497-nucleotide ribosomal RNA is filed under the name uncultured bacterium. RNAcentral's name for it is "partial 16S ribosomal RNA". It matches the Rfam family "Bacterial small subunit ribosomal RNA", at positions 28 to 507 of the family's 1533-position model. The record is from RNAcentral.